Molecule: long non-coding RNA, 251 nt
Filed under: Capsicum annuum
Lineage: Eukaryota; Viridiplantae; Streptophyta; Magnoliopsida; Solanales; Solanaceae
Description: long non-coding RNA (CANN_LNC011211)
Source: RNAcentral
GGGUCUAGAACGUAUGGCUACAACUAACUAUGCUUGCCACUUGCCUGGGAUCCUAAUCGAUCUCCUGUCCUACGUACUUGAGAAUCUUUAUGAGCACCCUAGGGAUCACCCAUACAACCAUGCAAACCACCUUUAGUUACAGGUGAAAUUGCUCAAAUCGAUGGAGCACUUUGAACUAAAGGAACCAUCACUCCACAACUGGGGAACUCUAUCAUAAAAUGACCAAAAGCUCCAUAACCAUAACAUGCCCC